RNAcentral lists this non-coding RNA (28 nucleotides) under Rattus norvegicus (Norway rat). The record is from RNAcentral. Lineage: Eukaryota; Metazoa; Chordata; Mammalia; Rodentia; Muridae.
UCUCAAGGCGGCUAACCUCCUUAGUGGU